RNAcentral lists this ribosomal RNA (464 nucleotides) under uncultured Paenibacillus sp. Its description in RNAcentral is "bacterial SSU rRNA". It matches the Rfam family "Bacterial small subunit ribosomal RNA", at positions 338 to 795 of the family's 1533-position model. The record is from RNAcentral. Lineage: Bacteria; Bacillati; Bacillota; Bacilli; Caryophanales; Paenibacillaceae.
CCUACGGGGGGCAGCAGUAGGGAAUCUUCCGCAAUGGGCGCAAGCCUGACGGAGCAACGCCGCGUGAGUGAUGAAGGUUUUCGGAUCGUAAAGCUCUGUUGCCAGGGAAGAACGUCCGGUAGAGUAACUGCUACCGGAGUGACGGUACCUGAGAAGAAAGCCCCGGCUAACUACGUGCCAGCAGCCGCGGUAAUACGUAGGGGGCAAGCGUUGUCCGGAAUUAUUGGGCGUAAAGCGCGCGCAGGCGGUCAUUUAAGUCUGGUGUUUAAACCUUGGGCUCAACCUGGGGUCGCACUGGAAACUGGGUGACUUGAGUACAGAAGAGGAAAGUGGAAUUCCACGUGUAGCGGUGAAAUGCGUAGAUAUGUGGAGGAACACCAGUGGCGAAGGCGACUUUCUGGGCUGUAACUGACGCUGAGGCGCGAAAGCGUGGGGAGCAAACAGGAUUAGAUACCCGGGUAGUC